RNAcentral lists this ribosomal RNA (299 nucleotides) under Gemmatimonadales bacterium. RNAcentral describes it as "partial 16S ribosomal RNA". It matches the Rfam family "Bacterial small subunit ribosomal RNA", at positions 1236 to 1533 of the family's 1533-position model. The record is from RNAcentral. Lineage: Bacteria; Pseudomonadati; Gemmatimonadota; Gemmatimonadia; Gemmatimonadales.
GGUACAAUGCGUCGCAAGCCCGCGAGGGGGAGCCAAUCGCUAAAAGCCGGUCUAAGUGCGGAUUGGAGUCUGCAACUCGACUCCAUGAAGUCGGAAUCGCUAGUAAUCGUGGAUCAGCCAUGCCACGGUGAAUACGUUCCCGGGCCUUGUACACACCGCCCGUCACGCCAUGGAAGCUGGAGGGACCCGAAGCCGGUGGGCGAACCGCAAGGACGCAGCCGUCGAAGGUCAAUUCAGUGACUGGGGCGAAGUCGUAACAAGGUAGCCGUAGGGGAACCUGCGGCUGGAUCACCUCCUUU